UCCCUUCGUUUCAUAAUAAAUGAAUUGUGAUUUUGGCACACAUAUUAAGGAAAAAACAUUAAAGAAAUAAAUUUAACACAACUUUUUAUUUUUACCCAAAAAAAAAAUUGACCUUGUAAUACAUUUUCAAAAGUUAAUUGGUUGUCAAAUCAUAAAGACAAAUUUAGAAAAAAAUUCAAUGAUUCACUUAUUUUGAAACACCAAUAAAUACCCCAACAAUUCACUUAUUUCAAAAUGGAGUGAGUAACUUCUUAAUACAAUUUAUGAAAGAAAAAGUCAAAAAAGUGAGUUAGUUGGUAGUACUUGAUUUGACAAAGUGAAGCAAUAAUUUUUUUAGAAUUUUUUUUUUUGGUAAGAAACGUAAUAAAAGUUAUAAUUUAUAAAUUGUAAUAAAAAAAUUUAAUUUAUAAAAGUUAAAAAAGUUAUAAAGUUUUAAUUUAUAAUUUUUUUUUAAAUAUCAAAUAUGUACUAUAUACAACUUAUUUUUACUCGUUAUUCUUGUUAUUUGAAUCUACUUACUUAUUAGUGAACUUUAUUUUGAAUGAGAAUAUCAUCAAGAUAAUAUUUAUAUAUGACUUGUAAACAAAAUGUCCUUUAUACAAAGCACUUUGUAUAUCAAUUGUUGCUGCCAUGUGUGAUCUUCGUGACUCAUGUGUGAUCUUCGUGACUCGUUGAAAAAUUCUGUCAACCAUAAAAAUAUUUUUAUUAGAAAACAAAAAUAAAAUCAAGGUUUAGCAAAUAAUAAUAUAAGCAUUAUAGUAUUACAAGAAAAAACAUAUAAAUAUUUCUAUACUAAAAUAACUUUUUGACAGAUUUUAACAUUUUUAUUUUGUUUGUACAGAUUGUGUUUCAAAUCAGAAAUGGAGAGUGUUAAUGUUGAAAAAGAUUCUGCUAAUCAAGAAGGUAAUAUCUCACUUUUAUAAAAUAUUCUUAUAGUUUAUUAUUAUUUGUGUUUCAUGCUUCUAAUUUAAACAUUGUUAUCUUAAAUCACAAUGCAACUAAUUACAAUCAUUUUUCAGGAGCUCAUAAUACUUAUACCAUCGAUAAAAAUUUUGUAUUUGAGAUUGGUAUGAAAUUUUAUUCGGAAGAGGAAUCAUACAAUGCAUACAAUUCAUAUGCCGCGGCAAAAGGUUAUGGUGUUCGAAAAGGUCCAAAGACUCAAAACAGAAAUAAUGAGAUAGCGAGAUGCUUAUUUUUUUGUUCUUGUGAAGGACAAUCUGAUAAGCUUUCUCCUUUUCAAGAAAGGAAGCGACAAAGAUUAGAAUAUAGAUGUUGAUGCUUGGCUUGUAUAAAAUUUCAAAUAUCAAAUGACAUGUGGGAAGUAUGUGAAUUUAAUAAUGUGCGUAGUCAUCCAAUGAUAGAAGGCAAUUUAAGACAUUUCAUACAAUCUGGUCGAAAGCUUACAAGUGCUACCAAAAAUAUUUUUGGUUCUAUGAUCGAGGCUGGUAUUUGCACUAAAAAAACUGUUUGAUAUCUUCAAAAUGAAGCAGGUGGAAUUGAAAAUACAGAAUUUAUUGAGCAAGAUGCUCAUAACUUUAUACAAGCACAUAAGAGAAAUAUGAUUAGUGGUGGAGAUGCUCAAACUUUGAUAAAUCAUUUUAUGCAUUUGCAAUCGGAGGACUCAAAUUUCUUUUAUUUUUUUCAAGUUGAUGAAGAUGGCAGAUUGUGCAACUUUUUUUGGAGAGAUAGCAUAUCUAGAUUGCACUAUGAGUGUUUUGGGCAUGUGAUGAUUUUUGACAUCACAUAUCACACAAAUAAAUAUAACAUGAUUUGUGCGCCAUUUGUUGGAGUAAAUAAUCAUUGGAAAAAUAUUUUCUUUGGAUGUGCAUUCUUGUGUGAUGAAACAAUUGGCUCUUUUAUUUGGCUAUUUCAAACAUUCCUAAAGAGAAUGGGAGGAAAAACACCAACAACAAUUUUUACCGAUCAAGCUCUUGCUAUAGCAGUUGCUAUUAGAGAAGCUUUUCCUGAAACAUAUCAUCUGUUAUGUGUAUGGCACAUUAAAAGAAAUGCUCAGAAAAAUAUACCCCACCUUUACUGGAAACAAGGAUUUCGAAACUACUUUGAUACUCCUUUAUCGAGAUGCAAGUCAGAAUCAAAAUUUGAAGUGACAUGACAGAACAUGAUAUCUGAAUGGAAUUGUGCAAAUAAUACUUGGCUUCAAAAGCUAUAUGAUUUAAGAAAGAAAUGGUGUCCUGCAUUUAGCUGUUUCAUUUUUUUAGCGGACAUUAAAUCAACUCAAAGAAGUGAAAGCACAAAUAGAGUUUUCACAGAAAUGACAUGCAAGACAAUGAGUAUAACUGAAUUUGUGAAGCAAUAUGAGCAACGAACAACUGAAAUGCGUGACAGUGAGGUAAUUGAGGAUUACAAAUGUUGAGGAAAGCCUAAACUUUUCAUAGAAGACUAUGGGAUGUUGAAGCAUGCUGGUAGUAUGUAUACAAGACGAAUUUUUAUAAGGUUUCAACAUGAAUUUUUGCAAGGGAUAACCAAAAAAGUAAUCAAUUUGGAAACUAAUGGGAAUAAAACGAUAUAUACAGUUUUAAAGAGUGAAAGUGAGCAAAUUGAAACUGUCCAGUUCAAUUCUCUUGAUAAUUCUAUUUUCUGUAGUUGUCAAAUGUUUGAAAACAUGGGUUGAUUGUGUUGUCAUGCAUUAAAAGUUUUAUUCUUUGACUUAAAUUUUUCUUGUAUACCUGAGAAAUACAUUUUGAAAAGAUGGACUAAGAAUGCCAAGCAUGACAGUGGAUUUGAGGAGUACACACACACAAAAAAAGACAAUGAAAUCUUCAAUGGCAAUUCGCUUAAAUGAAUUAAUGAAGGAGUCUUUUACUGUUAUGACUUUAGCAGCAAAUGACUUGGACUCCGAGAAAAUUGCCCGAAAAUAUUUGUAUCAGACAAAGAUUGAGAUUAUUAAGCAUCAAAGUGAAUUGUAUGCUGAAAAUUAUGAGAAGGAUAAGAAUAAGCUCAGUGAAACUGAUCCUGUUAUAGAAUUCAAUUAAGAAAAAAGACAAGAGAAGUGGAUACGGAAGAAUGAAGUUAAGAGGUGAACAAAGAAAAAAAAAAGCAUCACAAAAGACAUUGAAAUAUAAAGCAGCAGAUAAACAUCAGUCUUUUACUGCUAUGGCACCGAGCUUUGAAACACAAUCAACUUUAAUGCAAGGCUUCACUGAACUAAAUUUUUAGAUUAUUUUCCUUCAUCAAACUAAAUAUUUUUAAUCAUUGUCUUACUACUUUAUUUAUCUACCAAUUUUGACUCUUUUUUUUUCUAUUAAAAUUCAUUUACUAAACUUGAUUUUUUUCUUUUUAAAUUCAAACCUACAGGUACAUGGAGAUUCACACAAAAAUUUCAGUCAAUUAUCAACACAAAACUUGAAUCUGCCUUCUGCAGUGUACUUUCAAAGUCAAGGUUCAAACAAUGCAUUAGAAAAUGUUGAUAUCAAUGAAAAGGGAAUAUAGCAGAUCUGAGCAGCAUAUUUUGUAAUAUAUUUUAUCUUUUUUGAACAUUACAAAGACAAAUAUUUUGCUAUUUUGGCAUUAGAAAUGACAUGCAAACAAAGAUAUGCAGAGAUCUAAAUUUUAUUACUUAUUUUAUAUAAUUUUUUUUCAUAUUUAGAUGAAUUUGUAGAAAAAAAAUUAAUCAUGAAGAUGGAGAUAGAUUCGUACUUGAAAAUAUGAAUAAUCAAAAAUUUCAAAUGAAGAUGGAGUAACUGAGGUAGAUUUGAGUAAAGAAUGAAAAUUUGAGAACAAAGCUUCAAUUUUUUUUUAUCUUUAACACAUCAAUUUUUUUUCAACAUUAGCAGCAUCCCAAAUUGCCAAUGAAUAUUUAAAUAUUAGUAUUUAAAGAAAUUGCAAAUUCAAUAUC
RNAcentral lists this long non-coding RNA (3856 nucleotides) under Capsicum annuum. RNAcentral's name for it is "long non-coding RNA (CANN_LNC013094)". The record is from RNAcentral. Lineage: Eukaryota; Viridiplantae; Streptophyta; Magnoliopsida; Solanales; Solanaceae.